AACGAACGCUGGCGGCAUGCCUAACACAUGCAAGUCGAACGAGACCUUCGGGUCUAGUGGCGCACGGGUGCGUAACGCGUGGGAAUCUGCCCUUGGGUUCGGAAUAACAGUGAGAAAUUACUGCUAAUACCGGAUGAUGACGUAAGUCCAAAGAUUUAUCGCCCAAGGAUGAGCCCGCGUAAGAUUAGCUAGUUGGUGGGGUAAAGGCCUACCAAGGCGACGAUCUUUAGCUGGUCUGAGAGGAUGAUCAGCCACACUGGGACUGAGACACGGCCCAGACUCCUACGGGAGGCAGCAGUGGGGAAUAUUGGACAAUGGGCGAAAGCCUGAUCCAGCAAUGCCGCGUGAGUGAUGAAGGCCUUAGGGUUGUAAAGACUCUUUUACCUAGGGAUGAUAAUGACAGUACCUGGAGGAAUAAGACUCCGGCCUAACUCCCGUGCCAGCAGCCG
Molecule: ribosomal RNA, 449 nt
Filed under: uncultured bacterium
Lineage: Bacteria
Description: bacterial SSU rRNA
Rfam family: Bacterial small subunit ribosomal RNA
Source: RNAcentral